UGGAUCAAGGUGUCUAGAGACGAUGAAUC
RNAcentral lists this non-coding RNA (29 nucleotides) under Rattus norvegicus (Norway rat). The record is from RNAcentral. Lineage: Eukaryota; Metazoa; Chordata; Mammalia; Rodentia; Muridae.